This is a long non-coding RNA of Carassius auratus (goldfish), 6820 nucleotides long. The record is from Ensembl. Lineage: Eukaryota; Metazoa; Chordata; Actinopteri; Cypriniformes; Cyprinidae.
AUGCUUCAAACUGCUGUCUCUACAAGAGAAGCGACACAAACAACUGAACCUACAACUGUGGUUACGACAAAUUCACCUACUACUGCAACAACGCUUCGAACUACUGUCUCUUCAACAGAAACGACACAAACAACUGAACCUACAACUGAGAUUACGACAAACUCUCCUACUACUGCAACUACACUUCCAACUUCUGUCUCUUCAACAGAAACGACACAGACAACUGAACCUACAUCUGAGAUCACGACAAACUCUCCUACUACUGCAACGACACUUCCAACUACAGUCUCUACAACAGAAACGACACAAACAACUGAACCUACAACUGUGCUUACGACAAACUCACCUACGUCUGCAACAACUCUUCUAACUACAGUCUCUACAACAGAAAUCCAAACAACUGAACCUACAACUGUGGUUACUCCAAACUCACCUACAACUGCAACAACGCUUCCAACUACCAUCUCUUCAACGGAAACGACACAAACACCUGAACAUACCACUGUGGUUACGACAAACUCACUUACUACUGCAACAAUGCUACCAACUACUGUUUCUUCAAAAGAAACGACACAAACAACUGAACCUUCAACUGAGAUUACGACAAACUCUCCUACUACUGCAACUACACUUCCAACUACUGUUUCUUCAAAAGAAAUGACACAAACAACUGAGAUUACGUCAAACUCUCCUACUACUGCAACUACGCUUCCAACUACUGUUUCCUCAACAGAAACGACACAAACAACUGAACCUACCACUGUGGUUACGACAAACUCACCUACUACUGCAAAAACGCUUCCAACUACUGUCUCUACAACAGAAACGACACAAACAACUGAACCUACAACUGUGGUUACGACAAACUCACCUACUACUGCAACAACGCUUCCAGCUACUGUCUCUACAACAGAAACAACACAAACAACUGAACCUACAACUGUGGUUACGACAAACUCACCUACUACUGCAACAACGCUUUCAGCUACUGUCUCUACAACAGAUACGACACUAACAACUGAACCUACAACUGUGGUUACGACAAACUCACCUACUACUGCAACAACACUUCCAACUACUGUCUCUACAACAGAUACGACACAAACAACUGAACCUACAACUGUGGUUACGACAAACUCACCUACUACUGCAACAACGCUUCCAGCUACUGUCUCUUCAAAAGAAACGACACAAACAAUUGAGAUCAUGACAAACUCUCCUACUACUGCAACUACACUUCCUACUACUGUUUCUACAACAGAAACGACACAGACAACUGAACCUACAACUGAGAUUACGACAAACUCACCUACUACUGCAACUACACUUCCUACUACUGUUUCAACAACAGAAACGACACAGACAACUGAACCUACAACUGAGAUUACGACAAACUCACCUACUACUGCAACUACACUUCCUACUACUGUUUCUACAACAGAAGCGACACAAACAACUGAACCUUCAGCUGAGAUUACGACAAACUCACCUACUACUGCAACUACACUUUCUACUACUGUUUCUACAACAGAAACGACACAGACAACUGAACCUUCAACUGAGAUUACGACAAACUCACCUACUACUGCAACUACACUUCCAACUACUGUCUCUUCAACAGAAACCACACAGACAGCUGAACCUACAACUGAGAUUACGACAAACUCACCUACUACUGCAACUACACUUUCAACUACUGUCUCUACAACAGAAACGACACAAACAUCUGAACCUACAACUGAGAUUACGACAAUCUCACCUACUACUGCAACAAUGCUUCCAACUACUGUCUCUUCAACAGAAACGACACAGACAACUGAACCUACAACUGAGAUUACGACAAACUCACCUACUACUGCAACAACACUUCCAACUACUGUCUCUUCAACAGAAACGACACAGACAACUGAACCUACAACUAAGAUUACAACAAACUCUCCUACUACUGCAACAAUACUUCCAACUACUGUCUCUUCUACAGAAACGACACAAACAACUGAACCUACAACUGAGAUUAUGACAAACUCUCCUACUACUGCAACUACACUUCCAACUACUGUCUCUUCAACAGAAACGACACAAACAACUGAACCUACAACUGAGAUUACGACAAACUCACCUACUACUGCAACAACACUUCCAACUACUGUCUCUUCAACAGAAAUGACACAAACAACUGAACCUACAACUGAGAUUACGACAGACUCUCCUACUACUGCAACAACACUUCCAACUACUGUCUCUUCAACAGAAAUGACACAAACAACUGAACCUACAACUGAGAUUACGACAAACUCACCUACUACUGCAACAACACUUCCAACUACUGUCUCUUCAACAGAAACGACACAAACAACUGAACCUACAACUGAGAUAACGUCAAACUCUCCUACUACUGCAACUACACUUCCAACUACUGUUUCUUCAACAGAAACGACACAGACAACUGAACCUACCACUGUGGUUACGACAAACUCUCCUACUACUGCAACUAUACUUCCAACUACUGUCUCUUCAACAGAAACGACACAAACAACUGAACCUACAACUAAGAUUACAACAAACUCACCUACUACUGCAACAACACUUCCAACUACUGUCUCUUCAACAGAAACGACACAAACAACUGAACCUACAACUGAGAUUACGACAAACUCUCCUACUACUGCAACUAUACUUCCAACUACUGUCUCUUCAACAGAAACGACACAGACAACUGAACCUACAACUAAGAUUACGACAAACUCUCCCACUACUGCAACUACACUUCCAACUACUGUUUCUUCAACAGAAACAACACAGACAACUGAACCUACCACUGAGAUUACGACAAACUCUCCUACUACUGCAACUAUACUUCCAACUACUGUCUCUUCAACAGAAACGACACAAACAACUGAACCUACAACUAAGAUUACAACAAACUCUCCUACUACUGCAACAACACUUUCAACUACUGUCUCUUCUACAGAAACGACACAAACAACUGAACCUACAACUGAGAUUACGACAAACUCUCCUACUACUGCAACUACACUUCCAACUACUGUUUCUUCAACAGAAACAACACAGACAACUGAACCUACCACUGUGGUUACGACAAACUCACCUACUACUGCAACAACACUUCCAACUACUGUCUCUACAACAGAAACGACACAAACAACUGAACCUACAACUGAGAUUACGACAAACUCUCCUACUACUGCAACUAUACUUCCAACUACUGUCUCCUCAACAGAAACGACACAGACAACUGAACCUACAACUAAGAUUACAACAAACUCUCCUACUACUGCAACAACACUUCCAACUACUGUCUCUUCUACAGAAACGACACAAACAACUGAACCUACAACUGAGAUUACGACAAACUCUCCUACUACUGCAACUACACUUCCAACUACUGUCACUUCAACAGAAACGACACAGACAACUGAACCUACAACUAAGAUUACAACAAACUCUCCUACUACUGCAACAACACUUCCAACUACUGUCUCUUCUACAGAAACGACACAAACAUCUGAACCUACAAUUGAGCUUACGACAAACUCUCCUACUACUGCAACAACACUUUCAAAUACUGUUUCUUCAACAGAAACAUCACAAACAACUGAACCUACAACUGAGAUUACGACAAACUCUCCUACUACUGUAACUACACUUCCAACUACUGUCUCUUCAACAGAAACGACACAGACAACUGAACCUACAACUAAGAUUACAACAAACUCUCCCACUACUGCAACUACACUUCCAACUACUGUUUCUUCAACAGAAACAACACAGACAACUGAACCUACCACUGAGAUUAAGACAAACUCUCCUACUACUGCAACAACACUUCCAACUACUGUCUCUUCUACAGAAACGACACGAACAACUGAACCUACAACUGAGAUUAUGACAAACUCUCCUACUACUGCAACUACACUUCCAACUACUGUCUCUUCAACAGAAACGACACAGACAACUGAACCUACCACUAAGAUUACAACAAACUCUCCUACUACUGCAACAACACUUCCAACUACUGUCUCUUCUACAGAAACGACACAAACAACUGAACCUACAACUGAGCUUACGACAAACUCUCCUACUACUGCAACUACACUUCCAACUACUGUUUCUUCAACAGAAACAACACAGACAACUGAACCUACCACUGUGGUUACGACAAACUCACCUACUACUGCAACAACACUUCCAACUACUGUUUCAACAACAGAAACGACACAGACAACUGAACCUACAACUGAGAUUACGACAAACUCACCUACUACUGCAACAACACUUCCAACUACUGUCUCUUCAACAGAAAUGACACAAACAACUGAACCUACAACUGAGAUUACGACAAACUCUCCUACUACUGCAACUAUACUUCCAACUACUGUCUCUUCAACAGAAACGACACAGACAACUGAACCUACAACUAAGAUUACAACAAACUCUCCCACUACUGCAACAACACUUCCAACUACUGUCUCUUCUACAGAAACGACACAAACAACUGAACCUACAACUGAGUUUACGACAAACUCUCCUGCUACUGCAACUACACUUCCAACUACUGUUUCUUCAACAGAAACAACACAGACAACUGAACCUACCACUGUGGUUACGACAAACUCACCUACUACUGCAACUACGCUUCCAACUACUGUCUCUUCAACAGAAACGACACAAACAACUGAACCUACAACUAAGAUUACAACAAACUCUCCUACUACUGCAACAACACUUCCAACUACUGUCUCUUCAACAGAAACGACACAAACAACUGAACCUACAACUAAGAUUACAACAAACUCACCUACUACUGCAACUACACUUCCAACUACUGUCUCUUCAACAGAAACGACACAAACAACUGAACCUACAACUGAGAUUACGACAAACUCUCCUACUACUGCAACAACACUUCCAACUACUGUCUCUUCAACAGAAACGACACAAACAACUGAACCUACAACUAAGAUUACAACAAACUCUCCUACUACUGCAACUACACUUCCAACUACUGUCUCUUCAACAGAAAUGACACAAACAACUGAACCUACAACUGAGAUUACGACAAACUCUCCUACUACUGCAACAACACUUCCAACUACUGUCUCUUCAACAGAAACGACACAAACAACUGAAACUACAACUAAGAUUACAACAAACUCUCCUACUACUGCAACAACACUUCCAACUACUGUCUCUUCAACAGAAACGACACAAACAACUGAACCUACAACUAAGAUUACAACAAACUCUCCUACUACUGCAACUACACUUCCAACUACUGUCUCUUCAACAGAAACGACACAAACAACUGAACCUACAACUGAGAUUACGACAAACUCACCUACUACUGCAACAACACUUCCAACUACUGCAACAGAAACGACACAAACAACUGAACCUCCAACUGUGGUUCCAACAACCCCCAAAACAACCCAGUCAGUUCUUUUUAGUUUUUCCAGCGAUGAAACGUUUGUGGAUGAUUUGUUAAAUACAGCUUCAGAUGCAUAUAAAACCAGAGAAACCAGAGUCUUACGUGUGUUGGAACCAUUAUUUAAAAACAAAUUCUCCUCCUUCAAUAGUCUGGCAGUUAUUAAGUUCCGGUAAGUAUGUCCUCCCUUUAAAUAGAAAUACAUUUCAUUUUUGGAAGACAAAAGUCUCUGGUUUACAGCACAAUCUAGAUGGCUAUUAAAACAUGUUUCUUCUUUAUUGCACAUAUAAUAAAUAAUAAUUUUAGAUUUCCAAACAUUCCUAUGAUCACAUAGACAGAGGUAACUGAGGCUAAAUCCUAAAUCUAGGUAUGCAACUAUUUUUUUUUGAUAAUCUGUCGAUAAAUUAAUGUAAUCAGAUGACACACACACACACACACACACACACACACACACACACAUAUAUAUAUAUAUAUAUAUAUAUAUAUAUAUAUAUAUAUAUAUAUAUAUAUAUAUAUAUAUAUAUAUAAUGGUGACCUCCGAACAAUGUGUAAUAUAAAAUCCUGGAAAACAAAUAGUCAAUAUUACUGUGGAGGUUAUGCUGAAUAUUGUAAGCAAAAAAGGGUUAAAACAUUUUUAAAUAAAAGGGAGGUUGGGGAGUAAAAAUUGUGCUCCGGAGCCCUUCUCCCUCAUCCGGACCUUGGAAAUACUUUCUAGUAUUUUCAGAUAAUGCUUCAACUAUAGAAUAUAUGUUAUGCAAUGGGGAAAACAUGCGUCAGAGGCAUUAAACGGCAAACGUAUCUGUCAAAGCAUGACAGGGAAAGACAUGUUAAAUGCUUACGCUUACACAAAUAUAUACAUUUAUAAAUAUAAAGCAUUCUCAUUUUUCAGACAACUUGGAUCAUAUCACUUUCACACUGCAGCUCACUCUGUGCAUAACGCUUUUUUUUCAAAUGCAUUUUGUACAUAGAAACAGGAUAUUCACUACUGUAAAGUAUUGUGAUUAGAUGAUGGUUUCCGAGCACAUCCGCAACUUAUAAUUUACAUUACAUUUAAUCACUUAGCAGACGCUUUUAUCCAAAGUGACUUACAAAUGAGAACAGUAGAAGCAGUCAAGUCAACAAGAGAACAACAACAGUAUACAAGUGCCAUUACAAGUCUCAGUUAGUCUAGUACAGAACACGUAUCCAUAUUUUUUUGUUCUUUUUUUAAGAAUAGAAAAAAAAGGAAAGGUAAGUGCUAGUAUUAGUUGGUCAAGUGCUGGUGAAAAAGAUAAGUCUUUAGAUGUAUCUUGAAAAUCUGUUCGAAUUGAGAUUGGGAGGACAUUCCACCAGCCGUGAACAGUCCAGGAAAAGAUCAGUGAGAGAUUUUGAACC